This is a long non-coding RNA of Bufo bufo (common toad), 151 nucleotides long. RefSeq lists it as uncharacterized. NCBI's taxonomy places the organism in Eukaryota, Metazoa, Chordata, Amphibia, Anura, Bufonidae. The record is from RefSeq and is a predicted model, not a curated record. The transcript has 3 exons.
AUCCAUGGAGAAUGCAAACAUGUGCCACCCCCUGCAGAAAAGGCAGAACCGCCGAAAGCGAAGCUAAAUUCCACUAAAAAAGAAUGGAGAGAACCGACACUUGCCCUUUGAGGGAGCUGAGAGCCAGCCCCAAGUCCAUGCCCGACUGCAG